UAGGGAAUCUUCCGCAAUGGACGAAAGUCUGACGGAGCAACGCCGCGUGAGUGAAGAAGGAUUUCGGUUCGUAAAACUCUGUUGUUAGGGAAGAAAAAAUGUAUAGUAACUAUAUACAAAAGAGACGGUACCUAACCAGAAAGCCACGGCUAACUACGUGCCAGCAGCCGCGGUAAUACGUAGGUGGCAAGCGUUGUCCGGAAUUAUUGGGCGUAAAGCGCGCGCAGGUGGUUUAGAAAGUCUGAUGUGAAAGCCCACGGCUCAACCGGGGAGGGUCAUUGGAAAAUAAUAAACUUGAGUGCAGGAGAGAAAAGGGGAAUUCCUAGUGUAGCGGUGAAAUGCGUAGAGAUUAGGAGGAACACCGGUGGCGAAAGCGGCUUUUUGGCCUGCAACUGACACUGAGGCGCGAAAGCGUGGGGAGCAAACAGG
Molecule: ribosomal RNA, 429 nt
Filed under: Verrucomicrobiota bacterium
Lineage: Bacteria; Pseudomonadati; Verrucomicrobiota
Description: Verrucomicrobia bacterium partial 16S ribosomal RNA
Rfam family: Bacterial small subunit ribosomal RNA
Source: RNAcentral